Molecule: ribosomal RNA, 577 nt
Filed under: Saccharomyces cerevisiae (brewer's yeast)
Lineage: Eukaryota; Fungi; Ascomycota; Saccharomycetes; Saccharomycetales; Saccharomycetaceae
Description: eukaryotic LSU rRNA
Rfam family: Eukaryotic large subunit ribosomal RNA
Source: RNAcentral
GCCUUAGUAACGGCGAGUGAAGCGGCAAAAGCUCAAAUUUGAAAUCUGGUACCUUCGGUGCCCGAGUUGUAAUUUGGAGAGGGCAACUUUGGGGCCGUUCCUUGUCUAUGUUCCUUGGAACAGGACGUCAUAGAGGGUGAGAAUCCCGUGUGGCGAGGAGUGCGGUUCUUUGUAAAGUGCCUUCGAAGAGUCGAGUUGUUUGGGAAUGCAGCUCUAAGUGGGUGGUAAAUUCCAUCUAAAGCUAAAUAUUGGCGAGAGACCGAUAGCGAACAAGUACAGUGAUGGAAAGAUGAAAAGAACUUUGAAAAGAGAGUGAAAAAGUACGUGAAAUUGUUGAAAGGGAAGGGCAUUUGAUCAGACAUGGUGUUUUGUGCCCUCUGCUCCUUGUGGGUAGGGGAAUCUCGCAUUUCACUGGGCCAGCAUCAGUUUUGGUGGCAGGAUAAAUCCAUAGGAAUGUAGCUUGCCUCGGUAAGUAUUAUAGCCUGUGGGAAUACUGCCAGCUGGGACUGAGGACUGCGACGUAAGUCAAGGAUGCUGGCAUAAUGGUUAUAUGCCGCCCGUCUUGAAACACGGACCA